GGGAUGCGGAUAAGGAUGGAAAAUAUGAUGGAGGUAGGCACUGGGAUGAGAAAACACUUGGGGAAACAGGGCAAGGAGAUGAGUUCAGGGUUGGGGUGGCAGGUGUUGGUAAUGGAGACCAGAAACUUUCCCCGUUGGUCUCUAUUUUAAAUGCUUGUCUCACCUUGACCAGGCACCUUGAGAUCAAGGUGUAUUUUAGAAAUGUGGAUCUCUGGAGACACAGAGUGGAGCCAUGAGGUCAAAGGGGAGCUUUGGGACUGCGUGUGCUGGCUGCCUGCACAGCCAGUGUGUGCUGUUGAACUCCAGGAGUGGCACAGCCACUCCUCCUCCUUCCCCAUCGCCCACCGACGUGGCACUCGUGUGACUGCUGCUGUGGCUGCCAGCUUGCAGCCAGCCCACUUGGAGCGCUUCCCAACAGCACAGUCCUGCAGGAUUAAAUUACACCAUGUCAUCAGCCAGACACUCUGCCCACUUUUCAAUUCAUUUUCUCUCCUAAACCCAUAAAAUUACCAAAUCUCCUCGUGUAAACCCAUACUGCACAGAACCGAUGAGCUGACAGAGCGUUGCAUUCUGCCACAGGUUUGUGAAGGGUAGACUCUGAUUUCACCUCCUCCACUGUGGGGUUUGCUGCCUGGGAUCUUCUGGGACAGCUGUGCCACAUCCAUGCUGGGAGCACCCAAAACCUGCCCUGGGACACCCUGGGCAGGGGACAGCCAGAGUAUGGCACUCUCCCCCAUUUCUGUUGUUCUUCUUACUUGGUUGGUUCUGGCAGUUUGGGACAGGAGAAUUUUAAAAUGAAAGAAUAAACAGCAGAAAAUAUCCAAA
Taeniopygia guttata (zebra finch) is the source of this 825-nucleotide non-coding RNA. NCBI's taxonomy places the organism in Eukaryota, Metazoa, Chordata, Aves, Passeriformes, Estrildidae. The record is from RefSeq and is a predicted model, not a curated record.